UAUCGUGCUCUUCAUUAGUAGAGAAGUGCGAAAGCCCUCUCCCAUUUUCGACCAGAUAAAGGUAUGAGCUCGAAGCCGAAAAAAAAAAGAGCUGGCCUUGUCCAAAUAGGAUCUCCUUGUC
This 121-nucleotide non-coding RNA is filed under the name Palpitomonas bilix. The record is from RNAcentral.